Homo sapiens (human) is the source of this 987-nucleotide long non-coding RNA. Ensembl annotates it as DISC1 fusion partner 1. Its record names the gene DISC1FP1. The record is from Ensembl. NCBI's taxonomy places the organism in Eukaryota, Metazoa, Chordata, Mammalia, Primates, Hominidae.
UGAGAUGUGCUUUUCACCUUCCACCAUGAUUGUGGGGCCUCCCCAGCCACAUUGAAAUGCAUUUAUGAAGUAGGGACCUGGAAUUGAAGAGACUCCUAAAGGAGAGACAGAAGUUUGAAAGAGCAAGAAGAGUGGAUGUGGAUCCAGACAGAAAAAGAGAACAGCAAAUAUUUGAAAGAGCUUAAGACGUACUCCUCAAGGGGUUUCUCCUUUUGCGUCUUUCUCAUUUCUUUUGCUGCCACCGUGUAAGAAGUGCCUUUUGCCUCCUGCCAUGAUUCUGAGGCCUCCCCAGUCAUGUGGAACUGUACCACAGAUAGAAGCCUUGAGAAGCUUACUUUGGUCAGAAAUUUUGCCUUUGUCUGCAGGCUUCUACCAGUUCGAUUCCAUCUGUGGGUCUUAGGGUGAGUAAAGUGCAUCUGCUAGUCCCAUAUGGGUCGCCAAAUUGUAGAGAAGAAAAAAUACUUUUUCUUUGUUUUUAGAAUUUUAGUUGAAACACUUUCCUGAAAACAAAAGUCAGAUUAACAACAACAACAAUAGCAACAACACCCCAGAAGUUUAUUAAUGUGUGCCGUACCUGUCAUGUGGGAGAAGCCUCAGCUUAAAAGUAUUUUUCUCUUAAGGCGGUAGUUAGGGGCCUUGUUUAAGUAGUAGUUUAGUAAAGAGUCAUAACUCAUAUUAAUGACAAAGAAGAGAGCAUCUUGAGGCUUUUCAAUGGCAAGAAAAUGUGUGAAGGUAAAUUUAGGGGAAGACUAAAGUCUGUUCUUAGAUCCUCUGGUGCCAUUGUCUCUGAGCUCUGUUUCUGAGCUCAUCAGCAAGUGUUGUAAAUGGAAUUACAUUUAGAUGGGAAAGGCAGAGAAGAGUGGCAGAGUGUGUCCCUGCAUUUUAGCCUUUCUUUUUAGCUAAACAAUCUCCAGUAUUUUAGAGAGUAAUAUUUUGGUUUCCUUUGAUAAUAGUUAUUUUAACAUCAUUUUGAUUCUAGCAAUGAAA